AUCUCUGACUCCUUUACAUUUAACGGAGAAAACGUUUCGACUUUUACUAAAGGUCUCCGUGCAAAAGUGUAUUUCAUGAGCAUCAAAUAAUCUUGGAAUCUUCUCGAAAGAGCAGG
This 116-nucleotide small nuclear RNA is filed under the name Oesophagostomum dentatum (nodular worm). RNAcentral's name for it is "U5 spliceosomal RNA". It matches the Rfam family "U5 spliceosomal RNA". Rfam says of the family: U5 RNA is a component of both types of known spliceosome. The record is from Rfam by way of RNAcentral. Lineage: Eukaryota; Metazoa; Nematoda; Chromadorea; Rhabditida; Strongylidae.